ACUCCUGCGGGAGGCAGCAGUGGGGAAUAUUGGACAAUGGGCGCAAGCCUGAUCCAGCCAUGCCGCGUGAGUGAUGAAGGCCCUAGGGUUGUAAAGCUCUUUCACCGGUGAAGAUAAUGACGGUAACCGGAGAAGAAGCCCCAGCUAACUUCGUGCCAGCAGCCGCGGUAAUACGAAGGGGGCUAGCGUUGUUCGGAUUUACUGGGCGUAAAGCGCACGUAGGCGGACUAUUAAGUCAGGGGUGAAAUCCCGGGGCUCAACCCCGGAACUGCCUUUGAUACUGGUAGUCUUGAGUUCGAGAGAGGUGAAUGGAAUUCCGAGUGUAGAGGUGAAAUUCGUAGAUAUUCGGAGGAACACCAGUGGCGAAGGCGGCUCACUGGCUCGAUACUGACGCUGAGGUGCGAAAGCGUGGGGAGCAAACAGGAUUAGAUACCCGAGUAGUCCCAU
Molecule: ribosomal RNA, 447 nt
Filed under: uncultured organism
Description: partial 16S ribosomal RNA
Rfam family: Bacterial small subunit ribosomal RNA
Source: RNAcentral